GUGCUCGCUUUGGCAGCACGUAUACUAAAAUUGGAAAGAUACAGAGAUUAGCAGGGCCCCUGCACCAGGAUAACACACAAAGUCAUGAAGCGUUUCAUAUGUUU
Small nuclear RNA from Bos indicus x Bos taurus (hybrid cattle), 104 nucleotides. The record is from Ensembl. Lineage: Eukaryota; Metazoa; Chordata; Mammalia; Artiodactyla; Bovidae.